GGGGGGGUGGCGGAACUGGCAGACGCACAGGACUUAAAAUCCUGCGAUUGGAGACGAUCGUACGGUUCGAUUCCGGUCCUCGGCA
This 85-nucleotide transfer RNA is filed under the name Streptococcus massiliensis. RNAcentral describes it as "tRNA-Leu(taa)". It matches the Rfam family "tRNA". Rfam says of the family: Transfer RNA (tRNA) molecules are approximately 80 nucleotides in length. Their secondary structure includes four short double-helical elements and three loops (D, anti-codon, and T loops). Lineage: Bacteria; Bacillati; Bacillota; Bacilli; Lactobacillales; Streptococcaceae. The record is from RNAcentral.